Molecule: long non-coding RNA, 514 nt
Organism: Photinus pyralis (common eastern firefly)
Lineage: Eukaryota; Metazoa; Arthropoda; Insecta; Coleoptera; Lampyridae
Exons: 3
Source: RefSeq, a predicted model, not a curated record
AUCUUUACUCGCCUACAUCUAGUACGUAAAUUGAAAACAAAAACUUGGCCAGUUGUCAGGGUAAACAGAACUGCAAUUUUGCUAAAAGGCGCAUUUAGGUAAUCCGUCCUGAAGAUAUUGAAAUACAGAUAUUAAUCGACCAACGCGAAAUCAAAAUGAAUUGUAAAAUAAUUUUGACAAUCUUCUUAAUCUCCCUGACGUUGCCAGCAAUAUGCGCACAGGACGAUGCAUCCGCGAAAGCAGCAGAGGAGCCUGCGACUGUCUCUGAAAAAGGGCAAGACGGUGCCGCCGCCUCCACCGAAGAUGCUGCUAAAUCAAAUAUUACUACUACCACCCCUCCAGCGCGGUUUUACGAUGAAAGCUCUUGCACACGAGCCGCUUUGCAGUGCAUUCUGUUGCCUUUCCUGUUCUUAAUUACAAAGGCAAUUAUUUAAAUUUGAAGUAUUUGUAAUAGAUGUUGCUUAAAACCAAAUUAUUGGCAGUGUAGUCUAAUAAAGAUUCCUCUAUUCCCGUA